This is a non-coding RNA of Schizosaccharomyces pombe (fission yeast), 276 nucleotides long. The record is from the annotation of a GenBank genome assembly. Lineage: Eukaryota; Fungi; Ascomycota; Schizosaccharomycetes; Schizosaccharomycetales; Schizosaccharomycetaceae.
UGUGUUGUUUUACAUUUACUUGUAAAAGUAAUGUUUGAUAUGGGAGAAGUUUUAAGUAAUAGGUUCGCUAAUACGGGAAAUUAUUAAAUCAAUGCAUGCUGGCUUAAAUAAAGUCAAUUGAAUAUGUACGGAAAAUGACAUUGAUACUAACGUGCAGUUAUAAGUUUCAUUUCAUUUUUAUAUCAAUUGAUAGGAUAAACACAAACAAUUCUAACCAUACUAUUUUGCGCUACUACUGAAUAUGGCAUAAUAUCAAAUUAAUCUGUUUAGCAGUUA